GACGAACGCUGGCGGCGUGCUUAACACAUGCAAGUCGAACGGAAAGGCUCCAGCUUGCUGGAGUACUCGAGUGGCGAACGGGUGAGUAACACGUGGGUAAUCUGCCCUGCACUCUGUGAUAAGCCUGGGAAACUGGGUCUAAUACUGGAUAUGACCUUUCUCCUUAUGGGGUUUGGUGGAAAGUUUCUCGGUGUAGGAUGGGUCCGCGGCCUAUCAGCUUGUUGGUGGGGUGAUGGCCUACCAAGGCGACGACGGGUAGCCGGCCGGAGAGGGUGAUCGGCCACAUUGGGACUGAGAUACGGCCCAGACUCCUACGGGAGGCAGCAGUGGGGAAUAUUGCACAAUGGGCGGAGGCCUGAUGCAGCGACGCCGCGUGAGGGAUGACGGCCUUCGGGUUGUAAACCUCUUUCAGCGGGGACGAAGCGUAAGUGACGGUACCUGCAGAAGAAGCACCGGCUAACUAUGUG
RNAcentral lists this ribosomal RNA (467 nucleotides) under uncultured bacterium. RNAcentral describes it as "partial 16S ribosomal RNA". It matches the Rfam family "Bacterial small subunit ribosomal RNA", at positions 28 to 507 of the family's 1533-position model. The record is from RNAcentral.